CAGAAGUCAGGUCGGAUUAAGCCAUAGUACGGAAAAAACUAUGCUACCUGUGAGCCCCGUCCAAGGACGUUAAAAGAAGUCAGGCCAUCAUAAACGCCAUAGCUUGAGUAAACUAUGCUGCCUGUAGCUCCACCUGAGAAGGUGUAAAAAAUCUGGGAGGCCACAAACCAUGGAAGCUGUACGCAUGG
RNAcentral lists this long non-coding RNA (188 nucleotides) under dengue virus type 2. RNAcentral describes it as "Dengue virus 2 partial sfRNA1". Lineage: Riboviria; Orthornavirae; Kitrinoviricota; Flasuviricetes; Amarillovirales; Flaviviridae. The record is from RNAcentral.